AAUCAACGCUGGCGGCGCGCCUAAUACAUGCAAGUCGAGCGAGAAGACGUAGCAAUACGUUUGUAAAGCGGCGAACGGGUGAGGAAUACAUGGGUAACCUACCCUAGAGUGGGGAAUAACUAGCCGAAAGGUUAGCUAAUACCGCGUACGCUCCUUGGACUUCGGUUCAGGGAGGAAAGCGAUGCCGAGGGUAUCGCGCUCUUGGAUGGGCUCAUGUCCUAUCAGCUUGNGGUGAGGUAACGGCUCACCAAGGCUUCGACGGGUAGCUGGUCUGAGAGGACGAUCAGCCACACUGGCACUGCGACACGGGCCAGACUCCUACGGGAGGCAGCAGUAAGGAAUAUUGCGCAAUGGGCGAAAG
This 361-nucleotide ribosomal RNA is filed under the name uncultured bacterium. RNAcentral describes it as "bacterial SSU rRNA". It matches the Rfam family "Bacterial small subunit ribosomal RNA", at positions 32 to 381 of the family's 1533-position model. The record is from RNAcentral.